This 255-nucleotide non-coding RNA is filed under the name Oceanospirillum linum. RNAcentral's name for it is "Bacterial small subunit ribosomal RNA". It matches the Rfam family "Bacterial small subunit ribosomal RNA", at positions 1145 to 1399 of the family's 1533-position model. Lineage: Bacteria; Pseudomonadati; Pseudomonadota; Gammaproteobacteria; Oceanospirillales; Oceanospirillaceae. The record is from Rfam by way of RNAcentral.
GAGACUGCCGGUGACAAACCGGAGGAAGGUGGGGACGACGUCAAGUCAUCAUGGCCCUUACGAGUAGGGCUACACACGUGCUACAAUGGCCGGUACAGAGGGCUGCAAUAUCGCGAGAUGGAGCUAACCCCACAAAACCGGUCGUAGUCCGGAUUGGAGUCUGCAACUCGACUCCAUGAAGUCGGAAUCGCUAGUAAUCGUGAAUCAGAAUGUCACGGUGAAUACGUUCCCGGGCCUUGUACACACCGCCCGUCA